CCCGCUCCCGCUCCCGCUCCCUCUCCAGCUCCCCCUCCCGCUCCCUCUCCACCUCCCGCUCCCGCUCCCCCUCCCUCUCCCGAUUUCCACAGUCUCCCUCUGUUGCCAAGGCUGGACUGUACUGCCGUGAUCUCGGCUGGCUGCAACCUCCCUGCCUGAUUCUCCUGCCUCAGCCUGCCGAGUGCCUGGGAUUGCAGGCGUGCGCCGCCACGCCUGACUGGUUUUUGUAUUUUUGGUGGAGAGGGGGUUUCGCCCUGUUGGCCAGGCUGGUCUCCAGCUACUGACCUCCAGUGAUCUGCCCGCCUCGGCCUCCCGAGGUGCCGGGAUUGCAGACGGAGUCUUGCUCACUCAGUGCUCAAUGUUGCCCAGGCUGGAGUGCAGUGGCGUGAUCUCGGCUGGCUACAGCCUCCACCUCCCAGCAGCCUGCCUUGGCCUCCCAAAGUGCUGAGAUCUCGCAGCCUCUGCCUGGCCGCCACCCCGUCUAGGAAGUGAGGAGCGUCUCUGCCUGGCCGCCCAUUGUCUGGGAUGUGAGGAGCCCCUCCGCCCGGCUGCCUCAUCUGGGAUGUGAGGAGCGCCUCUGCCCGGCAGCCCCGUCUGGGAGGAAAUUCUUGAUAAAAAUUACAGCCUGAUCUCAGUUGUGCAACAGGAAUUUUGAAGAGCAGCCACCCUCCCUGAAGCCAUCUAGGGAACACCAGCAGAAUCACACUGGAGGACUGGUGUCCACAGAAGGCCACAAGCUUGUGAAGGUCAACUCAGCUGUGGCAGCUGAGCAACUGUCGGGCAAGUCUGCUGGAAUCUGAAAACCCAGAGACAUUUGUCCUGGGGGAUAUAUGGUAUGGUUCCCUUGGGUUCUCAGAAAUGACUGAGAUGACAUUUUGAGAGAAGCUAAGUUUUGGAAAUUAGGCCAGAGACUUAUGCCAAAAUUGUGGAUAAAGAGGAAGUUCCUGUUUGGGUUGUAGUGACAGGCUGUUGAGACUGGUGAAGUAAGCAUCACACUCAAUUUACCCCACACUAUGAGGAGCAAAAGAGUUCUUAAAAAGACAGAGAGGCAUAGCCUCAUCAUCAGAGCUCUUUAGGGAAACUGGGGAUUACCUCUAUAUGUCAGAUUUUCAAAUUAGCGUUGCACACCAGAGACCUCUUCAGGUGAGGUGAACUUGUAAAAAUACCUGAGAAUGGUUGUGAAACUGUAGUGUGCUGCUGCUGUGACUUCUGUUUUAUUUUUUUCAUUUCAUUUACUUUUCUAUAUACGAGUGUGUGUGUUUGUGCACACACACAGAGUAUAUAUAAGACAUAGAUACUUAUAGUACAUAGAAAUGUAUUUGUAUAAAUACAUGUAUGAUGUUGAAAGUUUGAGAUUCUUUGUUUUUUGAUAAAAACUAGUUAAAAUUGUUAUUAAGAUCUGAAAAUUAAUUCAGUCAGUUUUAAGAGACAUAGAAAUUCAGAGCAGCAAUCCCUGUUUGGUAAAUGCUUCUGUGGGGGACAACAUUCUCCACUAAGGUAAUUUUGAGCCACAAUCUUAAAUCAAACCACGAAAGAUAGAAAUUAUUUCCUUGGAAUAAGCUGUGAACAGUAUUACCUAAGGCUUUGGAUAAUUUCAAAUGAAAUGCUGAAUUUAGUAUAUUGAAUGACACAGCAUCUUUAUUUUAAAAUGGAACAAGUCAAUAAGGUAUUUACAGGAACACACAGCUUGAAUAAUAAAAUGUGUGUGAAUAGAUCUUAAUAAUUCAUUCCAUGUGCUGAUGCAAUUUGAUACAAACUCAAGCGUUUUAAUAAGAACUGUAAGCUGUUUUUUGAAAUUAUGUAUUGGAUUAGAGAGAGAGAGAGAACAGACCAAUUAAGCAACGAAAAAGAAGCGGGGAAUUGCUAAUGCUGAAUGAGUAGGAGCCAUCUGGAACUAUAAAGCGUCCCCAACAACCUACAGCUUCCCACACAGAUCGUAACCUCCUCCUCCGAUACCCGCCCCCACUACUUUGUGUAGGAGUUUAUCUUUUCCAGCUAUCACUAUGGGUAGGGUAAAAACUACUUUUAUAAAAAUUACCUUCAUGGUUACUGAAAGCUGAAGAGGAAUACUUCACUAACCAUGGGUCAUGACUCAUAGCGUAAAUACUUAUCUAGUAAGCAUUUAUAAUAUUUCUUUGGUGCUAAUUUUCUCAUUGAAUAAAGUUUGCUUUCAUUUUGUUUCAUCCACAUCAUAGCGGCACUUUCUGGCUGAGCUGCUUAACCCUCUGAAUUCAACUAUUUGCAGAGGCAUAAAGAAUUUUGAUGACUAUUUCAUUAUGCUUCCUCUAAAAAUAUGUUUUAAAGUCUCUAAAGAUUGUUGACUGUGUGCAAAACACUCUAAAGCUUGUUUCAAAGUAACAUAAAGCAUUUAGAUGAGAAAAGGGAAUAUACACAAUCCACUUCAGCUACACAUAAACUGGUUCAUGUGUUAAGGACAGUUCUAGAACUUUGGAAACUUGGAUAAGGACGCUCCUUCUGAGUAUAGUUCUCAUAGCACAAUCCCAAAGACACUGGAACCAACUUCAACUCCCACUGAGCUUAGAACCUACCCUUUACAUUACCCUAGAAAAACAAACACACUCUUUUAUGUAACCCCUCUCCCCAUUCUCCCCCUUCUUUUACAAAUUAUAUGCUAAAAUGCUCCCAACGUACUUAUAAAUAGAUCCAAUAAGACAUCAAUUUCUACACCUUCCAAGAGGGAGGGGAAACAAUCACAGGAAAUGAGGUGAAAACAAAUACUAUUGGCCGGGCGCAGUGGCUCACGCCUGUAAUCCCAGCACUUUGGGAGGCCGAGGCGGACAGAUCACGAGGUCAGGAGAUCGAGACCAUCCUGGCUAACACGGUGAAACCCCAUCUCUACUAAAAAUACAAAAAAAAUUAGCCAGGCGUGGUUGCAGGCGCCUGUAGUCCCGGCUACUCGGGAGGCUGAGGCAGGAGAAUGACAUGAACCCGGGAGGCGGAGCUUGUAGUGAGCCGAUAUUGUGCCACUGCACUUCAGCCGGGGCGACAGAGCGAGACGAGACUCUGCCUCAAAAGAAAACAAAAUAAAAACAAAAACAAACAAACAAAAAACAAACCAAAUGUUAUUAACCAAAUUACUAAAAUAAAGGAAACUUGAACACUAAAGAAUAAAUAAUUUUCACAAGAACAUUCUAAAGCAAAUUGUAGUAUCACUUUAUUUUCAUUAUUGUAGUAACAUUUCUUCAAUGACUUGGUAUCAAUAAAUUGUAUACAAAUAAAAGUCCUGUGUUGGCUUAAUAUUUCAUUUUUCAGCUUUUGUGUUAGGGUCUAUAAACAAGUUUAUUGGUACCUGUGUUUACAGAUGCACCAUAUUUAAAUGUAGUAUAAAGUCUGAUAUAUAUGAGAAUACGAUGGGAUAUGU
This 3382-nucleotide long non-coding RNA is filed under the name Homo sapiens (human). RNAcentral describes it as "HSALNT0077031". The record is from RNAcentral. Lineage: Eukaryota; Metazoa; Chordata; Mammalia; Primates; Hominidae.